UUAUAAGGAAGGCGUCGGGUCCUCCAUUUCAGCCUUUUUCUCUAGAAGGAAGCAGCAGUGGCAUUUCUGGUCUUGUAAACACUGGACUCGGUGAGACUU
This is an unclassified non-coding RNA of Dipodomys ordii (Ord's kangaroo rat), 99 nucleotides long. Ensembl annotates it as predicted gene, 27443. NCBI's taxonomy places the organism in Eukaryota, Metazoa, Chordata, Mammalia, Rodentia, Heteromyidae. The record is from Ensembl.